RNAcentral lists this ribosomal RNA (497 nucleotides) under uncultured bacterium. Its description in RNAcentral is "partial 16S ribosomal RNA". It matches the Rfam family "Bacterial small subunit ribosomal RNA", at positions 28 to 507 of the family's 1533-position model. The record is from RNAcentral.
GAUGAACGCUGGCGGCGUGCCUAAUACAUGCAAGUCGAGCGGACGGACGCGACGCUUGCUUCUCUGAUGUUAGCGGCGGACGGGUGAGUAACACGUGGAUAACCUACCUAUAAGACUGGGAUAACUUCGGGAAACCGUAGCUAAUACCGGAUAAUAUUUUGAACCGCAUGGUUCAAAAGUGAAAGACGGUCUUUCUGUCUCUUAUAGCUGGAUCUGGGCUGCAUUAGCUAGUUGUUAAGGUAACGGGUUACCACGGCAACGAUGCAUAGCCGAACUGAGAGGGUGAUAGGCCACACGGGAAGUGAGACAGGGUCAAGACUACUACGGGAGGCAGCAGUAGGGAAUCUUCGGCAGUGGGCGAAAGCAUGACGGAGCAACGGCGCGUGAGUGAUGAAGGUCUUCGGAUCGUAAAACUCUGUUAUGAGGGAAGAACAGAUGUGUAAGUAACUGUGCACAGCUUGACGGUACCUAAUCAGAAAGCAACGGCUAACUACGUG